CCAGACUCCUACGGGAGGCAGCAGUCGGGAAUAUUGCGCAAUGGAGGAAACUCUGACGCAGUGACGCCGCGUGCAGGAAGAAGGUUUUCGGAUUGUAAACUGCUUUCGACAGGGAAGAAACAAGACAGUACCUGUAGAAUAAGCUCCGGCUAACUACGUGCCAGCAGCCGCGGUAAUACGUAGGGAGCAAGCGUUAUCCGGAUUUAUUGGGUGUAAAGGGUGCGUAGACGGAGAAGCAAGUUAGUUGUGAAAUCCCGCGGCUUAACUGAGGAACUGCAACUAAAACUACUUCCCUUGAGUGCUGGAGAGGAAAGUGGAAUUCCUAGUGUAGCGGUGAAAUGCGUAGAUAUUAGGAGGAACACCAGUGGCGAAGGCGACUUUCUGGACAGUAACUGACGUUGGGGCACGAAAGUGUGGGGAGCAAACAGGAUUAGAUACCCCCGUA
RNAcentral lists this ribosomal RNA (445 nucleotides) under uncultured bacterium. Its description in RNAcentral is "bacterial SSU rRNA". It matches the Rfam family "Bacterial small subunit ribosomal RNA", at positions 331 to 792 of the family's 1533-position model. The record is from RNAcentral.